AGAGGAGCUUGCUCUUCUUGGAUGAGUUGCGAACGGGUGAGUAACGCGUAGGUAACCUGCCUUGUAGCGGGGGAUAACUAUUGGAAACGAUAGCUAAUACCGCAUAACAAUGGAUGACACAUGUCAUUUAUUUGAAAGGGGCAAUUGCUCCACUACAAGAUGGACCUGCGUUGUAUUAGCUAGUAGGUGAGGUAAUGGCUCACCUAGGCGACGAUACAUAGCCGACCUGAGAGGGUGAUCGGCCACACUGGGACUGAGACACGGCCCAGACUCCUACGGGAGGCAGCAGUAGGGAAUCUUCGGCAAUGGGGGCAACCCUGACCGAGCAACGCCGCGUGAGUGAAGAAGGUUUUCGGAUCGUAAAGCUCUGUUGUAAGUCAAGAACGGGUGUGAGAGUGGAAAGUUCACACUGUGACGGUAGCUUACCAGAAAGGGACGGCUAACUACGUGCCAGCAGCCGCGGUAAUACGUAGGUCCCGAGCGUUGUCCGGAUUUAUUGGGCGUAAAGCGAGCGCAGGCGGUUUGAUAAGUCUGAAGUUAAAGGCUGUGGCUCAACCAUAGUUCGCUUUGGAAACUGUCAAACUUGAGUGCAGAAGGGGAGAGUGGAAUUCCAUGUGUAGCGGUGAAAUGCGUAGAUAUAUGGAGGAACACCGGUGGCGAAAGCGGCUCUCUGGUCUGUAACUGACGCUGAGGCUCGAAAGCGUGGGGAGCGAACAGGAUUAGAUACCCUGGUAGUCCACGCCGUAAACGAUGAGUGCUAGGUGUUGGAUCCUUUCCGGGAUUCAGUGCCGCAGCUAACGCAUUAAGCACUCCGCCUGGGGAGUACGACCGCAAGGUUGAAACUCAAAGGAAUUGACGGGGGCCCGCACAAGCGGUGGAGCAUGUGGUUUAAUUCGAAGCAACGCGAAGAACCUUACCAGGUCUUGACAUCCCGAUGCUAUUUCUAGAGAUAGAAAGUUACUUCGGUACAUCGGUGACAGGUGGUGCAUGGUUGUCGUCAGCUCGUGUCGUGAGAUGUUGGGUUAAGUCCCGCAACGAGCGCAACCCCUAUUGUUAGUUGCCAUCAUUCAGUUGGGCACUCUAGCGAGACUGCCGGUAAUAAACCGGAGGAAGGUGGGGAUGACGUCAAAUCAUCAUGCCCCUUAUGACCUGGGCUACACACGUGCUACAAUGGUUGGUACAACGAGUUGCGAGUCGGUGACGGCGAGCUAAUCUCUUAAAGCCAAUCUCAGUUCGGAUUGUAGGCUGCAACUCGCCUACAUGAAGUCGGAAUCGCUAGUAAUCGCGGAUCAGCACGCCGCGGUGAAUACGUUCCCGGGCCUUGUACACACCGCCCGUCACACCACGAGAGUUUGUAACACCCGAAGUCGGUGAGGUAAC
This 1380-nucleotide ribosomal RNA is filed under the name Streptococcus thermophilus. RNAcentral's name for it is "bacterial SSU rRNA". It matches the Rfam family "Bacterial small subunit ribosomal RNA", at positions 72 to 1439 of the family's 1533-position model. The record is from RNAcentral. Lineage: Bacteria; Bacillati; Bacillota; Bacilli; Lactobacillales; Streptococcaceae.